This 397-nucleotide ribosomal RNA is filed under the name uncultured bacterium. Its description in RNAcentral is "bacterial SSU rRNA". It matches the Rfam family "Bacterial small subunit ribosomal RNA", at positions 28 to 414 of the family's 1533-position model. The record is from RNAcentral.
GACGAACGCUGGCGGCGUGCCUAACACAUGCAAGUCGAGCGGAGAAUGCGGACAUGUUUACAUGAAAGUGUUCUUAGCGGCGGACGGGUGAGUAACACGUGGGUAACCUGCCUCAAAGUGGGGGAUAGCCUUCCGAAAGGAAGAUUAAUACCGCAUAAGCCUACAGUACCGCAUGGUACAGCAGGAAAAGGAGCAAUCCGCUUUGAGAUGGACCCGCGGCGCAUUAGCUAGUUGGUGAGGUAACGGCUCACCAAGGCGACGAUGCGUAGCCGACCUGAGAGGGUGAUCGGCCACAUUGGAACUGAGACACGGUCCAGACUCCUACGGGAGGCAGCAGUGGGGAAUAUUGCACAAUGGGCGAAAGCCUGAUGCAGCAACGCCGCGUGAGUGAUGAAGG